GGACCUCGCACUCACCAGGCAGUACUGGCCAUUCUCUUCUACGGAAAGUAGCUAAGAUAUAUUUCUGCCACCUGUAAGUCAGAAUGACAAAAUUCUUGACAGUGAUAUCACUCAGUCCAACGGAUCUGACGCACUGAAGGCUGGACAUUGGCAGAUAUCAUCUAUGAUGAAAAAGCCUCCCUUGCGAGACGAGAAUCUUCACCAUCUGAAUCAUGAGUAAGUUAUAUUUUCCUGUAUAUCUAGUUUAUAUUUUAUUUUCAGAUUUACUCUAUAUCUCUUA
Long non-coding RNA from Ictalurus punctatus (channel catfish), 280 nucleotides. RefSeq lists it as uncharacterized. The transcript is spliced from 4 exons. NCBI's taxonomy places the organism in Eukaryota, Metazoa, Chordata, Actinopteri, Siluriformes, Ictaluridae. The record is from RefSeq and is a predicted model, not a curated record.